UUGAAAGGGAAACGAUUGAAGUCAGUCGUACCAACGGAAAUCAAUUCAUAGAGCGGAAUGUUGGAUCUUGAAGAGUGUUAAAACCUUUGGGGUUCAGAUAUUUUCACUUUUUGGACGUAUUUUCUCGUACGGUAGGUUAACAUCGAUUUUGAGCAUCAUAAAAUGAUCGGAGGAAUGUAGCUUCGAUCUCGUAUUGAAGUAUUAUAGCCUUUGGUAGAUGUGAUGAUCAAGAUCGAGGAUUGCAACGAAUACCCUUUUGGGCUAUCCGUCUGAUCUCUGAUACGUUGCCUUGGUAACGAAAGCGUGCUUACGGUAUUGAGGUAUUACGGUCAAAAGGUUAGAACGUGAUUACAUUCGUUAAGGAUGUUGACGUA
RNAcentral lists this ribosomal RNA (374 nucleotides) under uncultured Glomeromycotina. RNAcentral describes it as "LSU rRNA". Lineage: Eukaryota; Fungi; Glomeromycota. The record is from RNAcentral.